Molecule: ribosomal RNA, 1296 nt
Filed under: uncultured bacterium
Lineage: Bacteria
Description: bacterial SSU rRNA
Rfam family: Bacterial small subunit ribosomal RNA
Source: RNAcentral
GCUUAGUGGCAGACGGGUGAGUAACACGUGGGUAAUCUACCCCAAAGACUGGGACAACAGUUGGAAACGACUGCUAAUACCGGAUAAUUCACAUUUAGAUAACUAGAUGUGCUAAAAGGAGCCUUUAAAGCUUCACUUUGGGAUGAGCUUGCGGCGCAUUAGCUAGUUGGUAAGGUAAUGGCUUACCAAGGCGACGAUGCGUAUCCGAGCUGAGAGGCUGAUCGGACACAUUGGGACUGAGACACGGCCCAAACUCCUACGGGAGACAGCAGUUAGGAAUAUUCGUCAAUGGGGGAAACCCUGAACGAGCAAUGCCGCGUGAGUGAUGAAGGUCUUAUAGAUCGUAAAACUCUGUUGUAAGAGACGAAACCACUUGAUAGGAAAUGAUCAAGUGCUGACGGUAUCUUACCAGAAAGCCCCGGCUAACUACGUGCCAGCAGCCGCGGUAAUACGUAGGGGGCGAGCGUUAUCCGGAUUUAUUGGGCGUAAAGGGUGCGUAGGCGGUCUAUUAAGUCUAAGAUUAAAGCCCGAGGCUUAACCUCGGUUCGUUUUAGAAACUGGUAGACUUGAGUGUGGUAGAGGCAAGUGGAAUUUCUAGUGUAGCGGUUUAAAUGCGUAGAUAUCAGAAGGAACACCAGUGGCGAAGGCGGCUUGCUGGGCCAUAACUGACGCUGAGACACGAAAAGCGUGGGGGAGCAAAUAGGAUUAGAUACCCUAGUAGUCCACGCCGUAAACGAUGAGUACUAAGUGUCGGGAAACCGGUGCUGAAGCUAACGUAUUAAGUACUCCGCCUGAGUAGUACGGUCGCAAGGCUGAAACUCAAAGGAAUUGACGGGCACCCGCACAAGCGGUGGAGCAUGCUGUUUAAUUCGAAGAUACGCGAAGAACCUUACCUAGGCUUGACAUCCCCGGCAAAUCUAUAGAGAUAUAGAGGAGGCUACCCGGGUGACAGGUGGUGCAUGGUUGUCGUCAGCUCGUGUCGUGAGAUGUUCGGUUAAGUCUGAUAACGAGCGCAACCCUUGUCUUUAGUUACUAACAUUCAGUUGAGUUCUCUAAAGAGACUGCCGGUAAUAAACCGGAGGAAGGUGGGGAUGACGUCAAAUCAUCAUGCCCCUUAUGCUUAGGGCUACACACGUGCUACAAUGGGUGGUACAGAGGGCAGCCAAGUCGUGAGGCGGAGCUAAUCCCUUAAAGCCAUUCUCAGUUCGGAUUGUAGGCUGAAACUCGCCUACAUGAAGCUGGAGUUACUAGUAAUCGCAGAUCAGAAUGCUGCGGUGAAUGCGUUCCCGGGUCUUG